RNAcentral lists this ribosomal RNA (253 nucleotides) under uncultured bacterium. RNAcentral's name for it is "partial 16S ribosomal RNA". It matches the Rfam family "Bacterial small subunit ribosomal RNA", at positions 524 to 776 of the family's 1533-position model. The record is from RNAcentral.
UACAGGGGGUGCAAACGUUGCUCGGAAUCAUUGGGCGUAAAGCGCACGUAGGCGGUUCGUUGUGUCGGAUGUGAAAGCCCUUGGCUUAACCGAGGAAGUGCAUCCGAAACUGGCGAGCUAGAGUACGAAAGAGGAUCGCGGAAUUCCCGGUGUAGAGGUGAAAUUCGUAGAUAUCGGGAGGAACACCGGUGGCGAAGGCGGCGAUCUGGGUCGAUACUGACGCUGAGGUGCGAAAGCGUGGGGAGCAAACAGG